Cynoglossus semilaevis (tongue sole) is the source of this 1873-nucleotide long non-coding RNA. RefSeq lists it as uncharacterized. Lineage: Eukaryota; Metazoa; Chordata; Actinopteri; Pleuronectiformes; Cynoglossidae. The record is from RefSeq and is a predicted model, not a curated record. The transcript has 3 exons.
CCAGCCCUUUUGAUUAUCUUUGCACAACUCCCUGGGAAGGCAUUUCCGGAGAAGACACUGGGAUACAGCUGAUUAAAAGAUAAACGAUUAUCUUUGAAACUGGUUGACCUCCGUUUUUUCGGACAUUAUUGCCUUCUUGCUAUCAAAGACCCGACGUAACCACAACCACAACUCACAAUGCAGGAAGCUGGUGUGACCUACAAAAUAAGAUUUCCUUUUUUCUUUCAAAAUAAAAUCCGGGAUAAACGGCAAACCCCUUGUCCCGGUGAUUCAAACAUCGGGAUCUUGUUAGAGUUCUCUGAUCUUUCCUAUUGGGGUUCACCUGGAGAAAAGCGAUCCACAUCAAAGUCUAAAGCCUCAGCUCCUGCCACUCCACUCCACCCAAGUGCUGCUAACCCCUAUUACCACAUUUCAAAACUCUAAAACUCCUUUAUCAGUCAUGUGCUGAGUGAAAUAUCCAGAAAUCCCCUUUUCGUCUGCAGUAAAAUGAAGCUGGCAUGGACUGAGGGUUUUGAUUUUCUUCCCAAGGUCAUGCUGGCUCUGAUCUGGCACUGGGUGGCGACAGUUCAGACUGUGUUUACAGAGCUUUGUCUUAAUUAGGUGCUGAUUAAUUACAACUUGCGGUAGCCAAAAUACAUUAAGACACAAUGUAGCAAAAUCAAAUAAACAUUAUUUUCACUCUAGAAUAACAUACACCCCCUUUAAUAUCCAUCAGCAAAUAUAGUUUGCAGUGGUGUGUUCAGUGUAAACAUCAACAGAAUAUCCUCAGUAACAUUAUGGCAAACUAAACUGUAACGUCUGUUGACGUGAACAUGAGUCUGUGCCAUCUUAUAUUCUCUCUUUCAUUAUUAAACACACUAUGCGCAGUAGUUGCUGCUCCUAUUUCCCUUUCACUCAUCUGACAAGUAUGCACAUAUAAGGUUACUGCUUUGUUUAAUUCAUCGCACUGACUGUAUAUCAAUGUGUCAAUGCAGCACAGACAAAACAAGCAUUUCUACAAUAACAGUGUAUUGCAACAUUUGUGUUAUCAGUAUAAGGAAAAAUGCUUAAUUGCUCUUUAUUUUAUUUAAGAAGAACAUUUUUAAAUUUGCACAUAUUAUAUUUCACACUGUUGCUGUGUAAAGAAAAACAAUCCUGUUUUCCCCUCAAGGUCAGAGCUGCUGGUUUCACAAUGUUCUUAUAUCAGUCUGAUAUAACUGUCUGGUUGUUGCUGAAACCCGUCAAAUGCACGACCUUCAGUGGAACAUGGCUUUUGAUCAUGUUGAGGAAAAGGUCGUUUUCUUCCUUGCUGUCUGGAACCGAGAAGUUCUAUAGAACCUGUGUGACUGGCUUUGUGUCACUAUAAUGAUUCUAUCUGAAAUAAAACCAUGGUUUACCAAUGUAUUAAACUAUUUUGCUAAAUACCCUAAUUUUAACAAUGUCUUAAAGUUUCUCUGUGAGUUAAGUUGGGUGGGUGAAAUCUGCUCUUUUGAACCUGAGGCUGAGUCAGAAUCACAUGUUGUGCAGCAUUGACUAAACAAUUUGCAACACUUUUUGAUAUGUAGUCUGUUUUCUAUUCUCUUCAGUGCAGAGUUGUGACAGAGAGAGAGAGAGAGACAGAGAGAGAAGCGAGCCUCCGCACUGGACUAGUGUGUGGAAAAACAACCGUUAACAACAGUGUCUGCAGAGAAAUCUAGCAGCUCUCUGUGGUGUUGAUGGUUUGACCUGUCCAUGUAAACAAGUACUGGGCUUUAUACACUUUUGUCCUACUUCAAACAAGAAAGAAAGUAAUAGUUCUAGGUUUUUAACAAUAAUUUGUGGACAGCGGUUGAUAUUUUUUAUUAUGAGGGGCGUUUAAAUUUUAAGCAAUUUUUUUCAUAAGUCUCCCAAUUUU